Non-coding RNA from Maylandia zebra (zebra mbuna), 67 nucleotides. The record is from Ensembl. Lineage: Eukaryota; Metazoa; Chordata; Actinopteri; Cichliformes; Cichlidae.
AGCCUCGAGGUGUUAUACAUAUCAGAUUGCAAAUCCGAAGCAGCAGGUUAGAACCCUGCCGGGGCUU